Molecule: long non-coding RNA, 376 nt
Filed under: Cucumis sativus (cucumber)
Lineage: Eukaryota; Viridiplantae; Streptophyta; Magnoliopsida; Cucurbitales; Cucurbitaceae
Description: long non-coding RNA (CSAT_LNC001432)
Source: RNAcentral
ACAACUUCAGCGGACCACCACCACCACCACCACACAACUUCAGCGGACCACCACCACCACCACCGCACAACUUCAACGGACCACCACCACCACCACCGCACAACUUCAACGGACCACCACCACCACCGUACAACUUCAACGGGCCACCACCUCCUCCACCAAACAACUUCAACGGACCACCACCUCCUCCACCGAACAACUUCAACGGACCACCACCACGCAACUAUGCUUCAGCAUCACCAAAUCACGGAGGAGGAGGAGGAGGAGCACCCCACAACUAUGGGGGGCCACAGGAAAACAACUAUUGGGGAGCACAGCAGCCAAACAACUAUGGUGGACCUUCAAACUCUGGCCGGGGACCUGCAUAGAACAACUA